This is a long non-coding RNA of Hevea brasiliensis (rubber tree), 445 nucleotides long. RefSeq lists it as uncharacterized. The record is from RefSeq and is a predicted model, not a curated record. The transcript has 2 exons. Lineage: Eukaryota; Viridiplantae; Streptophyta; Magnoliopsida; Malpighiales; Euphorbiaceae.
CUUCUCUCUUUCUCCUUGCCGUUCCCUUGCUCUCUCCCUCUCCACCAUUGUUAUCAAGCUUAAAGCUUGAUUUCCCAAGCUUUCACUCACCAAAACCCAUAGACCCCUUCACAAAAAAUUUAGCCCACACCAUAAGGAAGCUUUAGAUACCCAUAAGAAGAAGAAAGAUUAAAGUUUGAAGUGGGUCACAAGAGGUACUGGAGAUCAGUCCCAGCAGCCGCAGCAGCCGCAGUAGCAGCACCAGUAGUGCACUAACAGAGCUUUGAUUAGAUCUGCCAUUGUCCAGAGUCACCUCACCGGUCUGUUGUAUUUUGGUAGGGCCCAUGUAUAGACUAGUAUUUUGGUUCAUUAUGUUUAGUCAUGAUGUAAUUACUAGUUUAUGAUGUAUUUCAUUUUGGACUUGUAAUUAAACUUUGAGAUUGAAAUGAAAACUUGUAAUUUAUUA